GAUGAACGCUGGCGGCGUGCCUAAUACAUGCAAGUCGAGCGAACAGACGAGGAGCUUGCUCCUCUGACGUUAGCGGCGGACGGGUGAGUAACACGUGGAUAACCUACCUAUAAGACUGGGAUAACUUCGGGAAACCGGAGCUAAUACCGGAUAAUAUAUUGAACCGCAUGGUUCAAUAGUGAAAGACGGUUUUGCUGUCACUUAUAGAUGGAUCCGCGCCGCAUUAGCUAGUUGGUAAGGUAACGGCUUACCAAGGCAACGAUGCGUAGCCGACCUGAGAGGGUGAUCGGCCACACUGGAACUGAGACACGGUCCAGACUCCUACGGGAGGCAGCAGUAGGGAAUCUUCCGCAAUGGGCGAAAGCCUGACGGAGCAACGCCGCGUGAGUGAUGAAGGUCUUCGGAUCGUAAAACUCUGUUAUUAGGGAAGAACAAAUGUGUACGUAACUAUGCACGUCUUGACGGUACCUAAUCAGAGAGCCACGGCUAACUACGUG
This 497-nucleotide ribosomal RNA is filed under the name uncultured bacterium. Its description in RNAcentral is "partial 16S ribosomal RNA". It matches the Rfam family "Bacterial small subunit ribosomal RNA", at positions 28 to 507 of the family's 1533-position model. The record is from RNAcentral.